ACGCCCGGUCCCAUUCCGAACCCGGAAGCUAAGGCCACCUGCGCCGAUGGUACUGCACUCGACAGGGUGUGGGAGAGUAGGACACCGCCGGAA
RNAcentral lists this ribosomal RNA (93 nucleotides) under Nocardia seriolae. RNAcentral also lists the same sequence under 1 other name. Lineage: Bacteria; Bacillati; Actinomycetota; Actinomycetes; Mycobacteriales; Nocardiaceae. The record is from RNAcentral.